GCCGGUGUAUCUCAGUGGUGGAGAGGAAUAGCUUUGAAGCUAGUCGACUGGGGUUCAAAUCCCAGCUCUGCCU
This 73-nucleotide transfer RNA is filed under the name Urocitellus parryii (Arctic ground squirrel). RNAcentral describes it as "Spermophilus parryii (Arctic ground squirrel) tRNA". It matches the Rfam family "tRNA". From Rfam's summary of the family: Transfer RNA (tRNA) molecules are approximately 80 nucleotides in length. Their secondary structure includes four short double-helical elements and three loops (D, anti-codon, and T loops). The record is from Rfam by way of RNAcentral. RNAcentral also lists the same sequence under 2 other names. Lineage: Eukaryota; Metazoa; Chordata; Mammalia; Rodentia; Sciuridae.